GAUGAACGCUGGCGGCGUGCCUCAAACAUGCAAGUCGAGCGGGGCUAUGUUGGACCGUAAGGGAAGAUAUAGCCUAGCGGCGAACGGGUGAGUAACACGUGGGUAACCUACCUGGAAGACAGGGAUAACGAUUCGAAAGGGUCGCUAAUACCUGAUAAUAUCUAACAGUCGGAUGGCAGUUAGAAGAAAGGGGAAACCCGCUUUCAGAUGGGCCCGCGUCCCAUCAGCUAGUUGUAAGGUAACAGCUCACCAAGGCGACGACGGGUAGCCGGCCUGAGAGGGUGACCGGCCACACUGGGACUGAGACACGGCCCAGACUCCUACGGGGGCAGCAGUGGGGGAUCUUGCACAAUGGGCGAAAGCCUGAUGGAGCGACGCCGCGUGAGCGAAGAAGGCCUUCGGGUUGUAAAGCUCUGUCUGGAGGGACGAAGGAAGUGACGGUACCUCCGGAGGAAGCCACGGCUAACUACGUG
Molecule: ribosomal RNA, 473 nt
Filed under: uncultured bacterium
Lineage: Bacteria
Description: bacterial SSU rRNA
Rfam family: Bacterial small subunit ribosomal RNA
Source: RNAcentral